Molecule: ribosomal RNA, 514 nt
Filed under: Orisarma intermedium
Lineage: Eukaryota; Metazoa; Arthropoda; Malacostraca; Decapoda; Sesarmidae
Description: partial 12S ribosomal RNA
Source: RNAcentral
UUUAUAGAUGUUAUAAAUAAUAAAAGGUAAAAUUUAAUUGUUAUUUUAUAUUACAUUAGUGAUUGUAAUUGAAGCUAAAAAAUCUAAUUAUAAACUAGGAUUAGAUACCCUAUUAUUUUAGGAAAAAAUAUAAAGCUAGAUUAGUAUUAGUUAAAUACUUAAAAAUUAAAAGAUUUGGCGGUGAUUUAAUCUUUUCAGAGGAAUUUGUUUUUUAAUCGAUAAACCACGAAGAAUCUUACUUGUUUUUGUUAAAUAAUCAGUUUGUAUACCAUCAUUAUCAGAUAAUUCUAAAAAGAAAAAUUAUCAAAUUUAAAUAUUUAUUAAAAUUAGAUCAUGGUGCAGCUUAUAAACAAGGUAAAAUGAAUUACAAUAAAUUGUUUUAUAAUGAAUUAAUAAGAUAAUUCUUAUUAUGAAGGAGGAUUUGAUGGUAUUAUAAAUUUAAUAAGUUUAUAGGAUAAAGGCUCUAAAUCAUGUACAUAUCGCCCGUCGCUUUCAUUUAUAAAUGAGAUAAGUC